RNAcentral lists this ribosomal RNA (1424 nucleotides) under Pediococcus acidilactici. Its description in RNAcentral is "bacterial SSU rRNA". It matches the Rfam family "Bacterial small subunit ribosomal RNA". Lineage: Bacteria; Bacillati; Bacillota; Bacilli; Lactobacillales; Lactobacillaceae. The record is from RNAcentral.
UGCAAGUCGAACGAACUUCCGUUAAUUGAUCAGGACGUGCUUGCACUGAAUGAGAUUUUAACACGAAGUGAGUGGCGGACGGGUGAGUAACACGUGGGUAACCUGCCCAGAAGCAGGGGAUAACACCUGGAAACAGAUGCUAAUACCGUAUAACAGAGAAAACCGCCUGGUUUUCUUUUAAAAGAUGGCUCUGCUAUCACUUCUGGAUGGACCCGCGGCGCAUUAGCUAGUUGGUGAGGUAACGGCUCACCAAGGCGAUGAUGCGUAGCCGACCUGAGAGGGUAAUCGGCCACAUUGGGACUGAGACACGGCCCAGACUCCUACGGGAGGCAGCAGUAGGGAAUCUUCCACAAUGGACGCAAGUCUGAUGGAGCAACGCCGCGUGAGUGAAGAAGGGUUUCGGCUCGUAAAGCUCUGUUGUUAAAGAAGAACGUGGGUGAGAGUAACUGUUCACCCAGUGACGGUAUUUAACCAGAAAGCCACGGCUAACUACGUGCCAGCAGCCGCGGUAAUACGUAGGUGGCAAGCGUUAUCCGGAUUUAUUGGGCGUAAAGCGAGCGCAGGCGGUCUUUUAAGUCUAAUGUGAAAGCCUUCGGCUCAACCGAAGAAGUGCAUUGGAAACUGGGAGACUUGAGUGCAGAAGAGGACAGUGGAACUCCAUGUGUAGCGGUGAAAUGCGUAGAUAUAUGGAAGAACACCAGUGGCGAAGGCGGCUGUCUGGUCUGUAACUGACGCUGAGGCUCGAAAGCAUGGGUAGCGAACAGGAUUAGAUACCCUGGUAGUCCAUGCCGUAAACGAUGAUUACUAAGUGUUGGAGGGUUUCCGCCCUUCAGUGCUGCAGCUAACGCAUUAAGUAAUCCGCCUGGGGAGUACGACCGCAAGGUUGAAACUCAAAAGAAUUGACGGGGGCCCGCACAAACGGUGGAGCAUGUGGUUUAAUUCGAAGCUACGCGAAGAACCUUACCAGGUCUUGACAUCUUCUGCCAACCUAAGAGAUUAGGCGUUCCCUUCGGGGACAGAAUGACAAGUGGUGCAUGGUUGUCGUCAGCUCGUGUCCUGAGAUGUUGGGUUAAGUCCCGCAACAAGCGCAACCCUUAUUACUAGUUGCCAGCAUUCAGUUGGGCACUCUAGUGAGACUGCCGGUGACAAACCGGAGGAAGGUGGGGACGACGUCAAAUCAUCAUGCCCCUUAUGACCUGGGCUACACACGUGCUACAAUGGAUGGUACAACGAGUCGCGAAACCGCGAGGUUUAGCUAAUCUCUUAAAACCAUUCUCAGUUCGGACUGUAGGCUGCAACUCGCCUACACGAAGUCGGAAUCGCUAGUAAUCGCGGAUCAGCAUGCCGCGGUGAAUACGUUCCCGGGCCUUGUACACACCGCCCGUCACACCAUGAGAGUUUGUAACACCCAAAGCCGGUGGGGU